GACGAGCGCUGGCGGCGUGCUUAACACAUGCAAGUCGAACGGAAAGGCCCUGCUUUUGUGGGGUGCUCGAGUGGCGAACGGGUGAGUAACACGUGAGUAACCUGCCCUUGACUUUGGGAUAACUUCAGGAAACUGGGGCUAAUACCGGAUAGGAGCUCCUGCUGCAUGGUGGGGGUUGGAAAGUUUCGGCGGUUGGGGAUGGACUGGCGGCUUAUCAGCUUUUUGGUGGGGUAGUGGCUUACCAAGGCUUUGACGGGUAGCCGGCCUGAGAGGGUGACCGGCCACAGUGGGACUGAGAUACGGCCCAGACUCCUACGGGAGGCAGCAGUGGGGAAUAUUGCACAAUGGGCGGAAGCAUGAUGCAGCAAAGCCGCGUGCGGGAUGACGGCCUUCGGGUUGUAAACCGCUUUCGCCUGUGACGAAGCGUGAGUGACGGUAAUGGGUAAAGAAGCACCGGCUAACUACGUG
This 468-nucleotide ribosomal RNA is filed under the name uncultured bacterium. Its description in RNAcentral is "partial 16S ribosomal RNA". It matches the Rfam family "Bacterial small subunit ribosomal RNA", at positions 28 to 507 of the family's 1533-position model. The record is from RNAcentral.